AUCGUUGCAUGAACACGGAUGACAGAUGCAACAAAUAUUUUUUUAUUGUUAUCAUUGAUGCAAGUACGAUCAUCGAUAAUUUAGUGAUUUUUCGGCAAAUUUCCACCCUUUUCUCAGUAUUUUUCUUAUUGAGAGGAAUAUUUCAAAAUGUUUGGUAAAAAGAAAGAGCCAAAGAGACAAUCCAGGUCUGGAAAUCUUGAACAGUAUGGAAUAUUCCAAGUACCUGAUCAUUUUGACGACCUUGGAGCUUCUGUAGAAGAUGAAGACGACGAGGAUUUGGAAGCAGAAUUGGCUGCCUUAACAAGUAACAGUAAUGUAAUGCGAAAACAGAAGCCUAAAAUUCAGAGGGUAGAUUCAUCUGAUCUAAACGCAAUGGUAUCUGAAAGUAUAAAAGAUAUAGAUGAGAAUGUAUCCGAUGGGGAAGAUGAUCCAGAUUUAUUGGAAGAAUUGGAUAUGAUUACCAAGAAUGAGGCGGCUUUGUCGGACGAAGAAGUACGUCCAGAAGAAGAAAUUUCUGAAAAUAAUCUUGACAAGGCAAAUGAUAGUCCUGUAGACGAGAAAUUACAAUUACUGCAAGAAAGACUAACUCUUUAUCAAAAAGCUGAGAAGAAAGCAAAACAACAAAAUGAAACUAGUAAAGCUAGGAGAUUUGGCAGAGGAGUUAAGAUGUUGCAACAGCUUCUAAAGGACGCUCAGUCAGGUAUUGCUAUAAAUGAAGCUGAUGUUCCACCUCCUUUACCUCCUUCAGCUACUUCUGAAUCCGCGGAACAACCUACAGACAACGAUGUAUCCUCUAAAAUGCCAGAAGAGAAUCCUUCCCCGCCUAGUUUUGAACAUGAUGCCGAUUCAGAAUCUGCUUCAGCUGAACCAGCUGCUCCAGCUGUUCCAGCUGUUCCAGUUGUUCAAAUCGAUCAGGAAGCAUUAACUUUGUUAAAAAAACGACAGCAGGAGUAUAAGGUUGCUGCACUUGCAUGGAAAAAAGCUGGUAAUAUGCAAGAGGCUAUGCAAUAUGUCAAAAUUGCUAAACAAUUUGAUAUAGUUGUUGCGGCAAUUAAUGCUGGAGAAGCGAUUGAUUUAUCCGAUAUGCCACCUACGCCAAUUGGGCCUUCUGCAUCAGCCGUAGAUCCUGCAUCACGAUCGGUUGAAAAAGAAGACGUAGAAAUUCAGCAACAUGCCGAACCAGAUACACCGGCUGCAAAUAAAAUGGAUGAGGUAUUGGAACAAAAACAUGGAAUAGAAGAUAUUGAAAGUGCUCUCAAGGAGCGUCUUGAAGUAUACAAACGAACGAAAGCAGCUGCAGAAACCGAAGGAAAUUCUUCUAAAGCUCGAAGAUAUGGUCGUAUUUGUAAGCAGUUCGAGGAAGCACUUAAAAAUCACGCACGUGGAAGACCCGUGGCUCUAGAUGAACUUCCUACUCCACCAGGAUUUUCACCACUUUCUACAAGUACUCAGUCUGCUGGUGUGCCUGUGACGGAAAGAGAGAAAGAAGAUGACAAAUCUAAAUCAGAAUCUAAUUCGGAAGGAACAUCCGGAAUAGGUGUGCCAAGUCCACCUCCGAGAACAAAUCAAGUAGUAAAUAAAAAUCAAAAGCACGCUACUACACGGGCAGAUAAACAGAUGAUACAGUUGCAGCAACGUCAACACGAAUUAAAACAGGCCGCGUUAAAAGCUAAAAAAGAUGGAGAUUUAGAAUUGGCGCGCGAUUAUUUAAGACAAGCGAAAGGAAUACAGCCAUUGAUUCAAGCUAGUAUAGCUGGUUUACCAGUUGAUAUGAAUUCUAUACCUUUGUCACCGGUUGCUAAAAUGGAACUUAGUGCGCACGGUUUAACGGGUCAAACAGAUGAAAAUUUUCAAUUGGUCAAUAGUGAAGACUGUUUGGAGGAAUCUGGUGGAAGCGAUGAACAAAUUUACGAUAACUUGGAGAAUCAAUUAAUUAAACAAAUAAAAUGGUGCCUUUCUACGAGAGAUCAUUCGAAACAAUUGGGAGAUGUUCCGGGGUAUAACAGAUGGGAACGACUCGCUCUAGGAUAUACUCGAGAUUUGGAUAUGUUACGCGUUAGAAGACGCGAUUCUUUACCGCCUCCGUUGCAUCACUAUGAAACUAAAACUUAUGCGAUAGUUCAGAGUUGUACAGACUUGAACGAUAGCGAUAUUGAGAUAUCGAUAAUCAGAGGUAUCAAUUACGCGCGGGAAGCAGAUACUUAUGUUAUGUUUGAGUUUCCUUAUCCUUCGGACAAUCCCCCUGCAGAUAGAACAUCGACGAUUAAAGGUACUUGCAAUCCAGAGUACCAAGCUGUCUUCCCAAUAACAGGAAUCUUAGAUCGCAGCUCACGACAAUGCCAACGGUCAUUCAAACGACAUGCUCUCAAGUGUCAAGUUUGGGCAAAAGGAUGCUCGCUGAACCCCAUCCUGUGUUGCACUCAUCCAAGAUUUUCUAACAGGAUUUUUCAGAAGCGAUAGUUUGCUGGGUACCGUGACAGUAAAAUUGCAUCCGCUCGAGAUGAAAUGCAUUUUACAUGAUUCGUUUCCAUUAAUGGAGGGGAGGAAGCCAACAGGAGGAAAGCUCGAGUUGAAGAUACGUCUUAGAAAUCCGAUUCUCGCCAAACAGAUAGAACAAAUCACCGACAAAUGGUUGAUCCUCGAUAAUUGAUGCACUUUCGUUUUUAUUUAUUUUUUUUUUUUU
Molecule: unclassified non-coding RNA, 2683 nt
Filed under: Polistes fuscatus (common paper wasp)
Lineage: Eukaryota; Metazoa; Arthropoda; Insecta; Hymenoptera; Vespidae
Description: coiled-coil and C2 domain-containing protein 1-like, transcript variant X4
Source: RNAcentral